GUGGGGAAUAUUCCGCAAUGGACGAAAGUCUGACGGAGCAACGCCGCGUGAGUGAUGAAGGUUUUCGGACUGUAAAGCUCUGUUGUUUAGGACGAAAGUGCCUGUUGCAAAUAGUUACAGGUAUUGACGGUACUGAACGGGGAAGCCACGGCUAACUACGUGCCAGCAGCCGCGGUAAUACGUAGGUGGCAAGCGUUGUCCGGAAUUAUUGGGCGUAAAGAGCAUGUAGGCGGGAAUCUAAGUCUGUUGUGAAAAUGCGGGGCUCAACCCCGUAUUGCGAUGGAAACUGGGUUUCUUGAGUGCAGGAGAGGAAAGGGGAAUUCCCAGUGUAGCGGUGAAAUGCGUAGAUAUUGGGAGGAACACCAGUGGCGAAGGCGCCUUUCUGGACUGUGUCUGACGCUGAGAUGCGAAAGCCAGGGUAGCGAACGGGAUUAGAAACCCGAGUAGUCC
RNAcentral lists this ribosomal RNA (450 nucleotides) under uncultured bacterium. Its description in RNAcentral is "partial 16S ribosomal RNA". It matches the Rfam family "Bacterial small subunit ribosomal RNA", at positions 354 to 796 of the family's 1533-position model. The record is from RNAcentral.